This 241-nucleotide ribosomal RNA is filed under the name uncultured bacterium. RNAcentral describes it as "partial 16S ribosomal RNA". It matches the Rfam family "Bacterial small subunit ribosomal RNA", at positions 15 to 236 of the family's 1533-position model. The record is from RNAcentral.
GAUCCUGGCUCGGGAUGAACGCUGGCGGCGUGCUUAACACAUGCAAGUCGAACGGGAAUGUUUCGCUGAUGCGAUUUCGGUCAAAUCUUGAAGCAUUUUAGUGGCGGACGGGUGAGUAACGCGUGGGUAACCUGCCCUGUACAGGGGGACAACAGUUGGAAACGACUGCUAAUACCGCAUAAGCGCACAGCUUCGCAUGAAGCAGUGUGAAAAACUCCGGUGGUACAGGAUGGACCCGCGU